This 895-nucleotide ribosomal RNA is filed under the name uncultured archaeon. RNAcentral describes it as "bacterial SSU rRNA". It matches the Rfam family "Archaeal small subunit ribosomal RNA", at positions 21 to 904 of the family's 1478-position model. The record is from RNAcentral.
CCCGACUGCUAUUUGGGUGAGGAUAAGCCAUGCGAGUUGAAUGGGAAACCUAAAGUUCCCAUGGCAAACUGCUCAGUAACACAUGAUCAACUUACCCUAUAGAGAAAAAUAACCUCGGGAAACUGAGGAUAAUGUUUCAUAGUUGAAUUGGCUUGGAAAAGUUUUUCGACGAAAGGGGUAAAAAAAAUGGUUUUUAUCUGCUAUAGGAUAGGAUCGUGUUCGAUUAUGGUUGUUGGUGAGGUAAUGGCUCACCAAGCCGAUAAUCGAUAGGGGCCGUGAGAGCGGGAGCCCCGAGAUGGGUACUGAGACAACGACCCAGGCCUUACGAGGCGCAGCAGGCGCGAAACCUCCGCAAUACACGAAAGUGUGACGGGGUUACCCAAAGUGUUCAAUUUUGAACUGUGGUAGGUGAGUAAUGUUCCCUACUAGAAAGGAGAGGGCAAGGCUGGUGCCAGCCGCCGCGGUAAAACCAGCUCUUCAAGUGGUCGGGAUAAUAUUGGGCUUAAAGUGUCCGUAGCCGGUUUGGUAAGUUCCUGGUAAAAUCGGGUAGCUUAACUAUCUAUAUGCUAGGAAUACUGCUAUACUAGAGGGCGGGAGAGGUCUGAGGUACUACAGGGGUAGGGGUGAAAUCUUAUAAUCCUUGUAGGACCACCAGUGGCGAGGGCGUCAGACUGGAACGUGCCUGACGGUGAGGGACGAAAGCCAGGGAGCGAACCGGAUUAGAUACCCGGGUAGUCCUGGCCGUAAACGAUGCAUACUAGGUGAUGGCAUGGCCAUGAGCCGUGUCAGUGCCGUAGGGAAACCGUUAAGUAUGCCGCCUGGGAAGUACGGUCGCAAGGCUAAAACUUAAAGGAAUUGGCGGGGGAGCACCACAAGGGGUGAAGCCUGCGGUUCA